AAAGGUACUCAAGGGCGCUAAAUGGAUGCCUAGACGUAUAUUACCGAUGAAGGACGUGGAAGACUGCGAUAAGCUUCGGGAAGCUGUCAACAAGCUUUGAUCCGGAGAUCUCCGAAUGGGGAAACCCAGCAUGAGUCAUGUCAUGUUGCCACUUGCUGAACACAUAGGCAAGCGAGCGGGAACCAUCUGAACUGAAACAUCUUAGUAGGAUGAGGAAGAGAAAGUAAAUAACGAUUGCGAAAGUAGUGGCGAGCGAAAUCGCAACAGCCCAAACCUUUUAAGUUUUUGCCUAUUAAUUUAGGCAAAUAAGUUGAUAGACGAAUACUUAUAAGGGGUUGUGAUAUUACAUAUGACCAAGUCAGAGAAUUUGAUUCAUUCAAAUAAUCUGAUUUGCGAUAACUGGCUAUCAACAGUUAGUAAGGUAAGAAAUCGGCGUGGUUAGUAGAAUAGUUUGAAUGACUAGCCAAAGAACGUGAAAGCCGUGUAUAUGAAAACGACGCUGACCUUAUGUAUGUUUUAUCGAGUAGGACGGGGCACGAGAAACCCUGUUUGAAUCUGGCUGGACCACCAGCCAAGGCUAAAUAUAAUAUACGAUCGAUAGUGAACUAGUACAGUGAUGGAAAGGUGAAAAGAACCCCGGGAGGGGAGUGAAAUAGAUCCUGAAAUUUAGUGCCUACAAGGAGUCGGAGCCGGCUUGUCCGGUGACGGCGUGCUUUUUGUAGAACGAUCCAGCGAGUUAAUUUUUACAGCGAGGUUAAGUCAAUUGACGGAGCCACAGUGAAAGCGAGCCUGAAUAGGGCGAUUAAGUUGUAAGGAUUAGACCCGAAACCGGGUGACCUAACCAUGAGCAGGUUGAAGCCACUGUAACAGGUGGUGGAGGACCGAACCAGGAUACGCAGCAAAGUGUUUGGAUGACUUGUGGUUAGCGGUGAAAUGCCAAUCGAACUCGGAGAUAGCUGGUUCUCCUCGAAAUAGCUUUAGGGCUAGCGUCGUGUUAGUAGCACAUGGGGGUAGAGCUCUGUAAAGGACUGGGGCGGGCAACUGUACCCACCCUUAACAAACUACGAAUACCAUGUGUGUAAUCACGGCAGUUAGAACAUCGGUGCUAAGAUCGGUGCUCAAAAGGGAAACAGCCCAGACCAUCAUCUAAGGUCCCUAAAUUAACGUUCAGUGGGAAACAAGGUGAGAUUUCUUAAACAGCUAGGAUGUUGGCUUAGAAGCAGCCAUUCAUUUAAAGAGUGCGUAACAGCUCACUAGUCAAGAGAUCUUGCGUGGAAAAUGUAACGGGGCUAAAACGUUAUACCGAAGAUAUGGAUGUAUGUUGUUGUAAGUAUAGCUGUUCAUACUGAGACGCUUGAAGAGCUUGUAGUUUAUCGAGCCAUUUAUGGCGACGGAGAAUUAUGGGCUAGACCUAAGAAAAUGUUUUUAGAUAAUAUUGAAAAAUACGGAAAGAUCAUUCCAAGGUUUAAAUUGAUUAAGAAACUUUGAUUUUGUUCUUAGUGUGUAGUGGUAGAGGAGCGUUCCUAUCAGCGGUGAAGUCGAAUCGGAAGGUUCGGUGGAGCGGUAGGAAGUGAGAAUGCUGGAAUGAGUAACCAUAAGAGAGGUGAGAAUCCUCUCGGCCGUAAGAGCAAGGUUUCCUGAGCCAUGGUAAUCAUCUCAGGGUGUUAAGUUUUGUACACUGUUCACGGGGAAGUAAUCGAAGCGGAUUCAUGGUUUAUCCGUCCAACCGAGCGGGAACGCAAAGGGAGUGAAAGUGAUUCUUCGGAGUCGCGAUUUUGGUGAAAGCCCUGGCUAGAAAAGCAGGUGUACGCGUGGACUUAGCCGCCCGUACCGCAAACCAACACAGGUGCUCGAGUCGAGUAGACUCAGGCUUACGAGCGAACCUUCGCUAAGGAACUCGGCAAUACAGCGACCGUAACUUCGGGAUAAGGUCUGCCCCCACUUCGGUGGAUAUCAGCCGCGUUCACUCAGUGAAUAUUAGGUUAAAGAGUACAUUUUUAAUCACAAAACGAAUUUUCUGAGAUAGAGCAAACGAAUUGUUCUUUUGAACGCGAACCUCUGACAUCUAACGAUGUGGGGGCCGCAGCAAAAGAGCCCACGGAACUGUUUAUCAAAAACACAGGUCUCUGCUAACACGAAAGUGGAUGUAUAGGGGCUGACUCCUGCCCAAUGCUGGAAGGUUAAGGGGAGCGCUUCACGGUGCGAACUGAAGCCCUAGUCAAUGGCGGCGGUAACUAUAACCGUCCUAAGGUAGCGAAAUUCCUUGUCAGGUAAGUUCUGACCCGCACGAAUGGAGUAAUCAUGUGGGCACUGUCUCAGCGAAGGACUCGGUGAAAGUGCAUUGGCGGUAAAGAUGCCGUCUGUCCGUACCAGGACGAAAAGACCCCAUGGAGCUUUACUACAGCUUUACAUUGAAUAUGGUUUCAACAUGUGUAGCAUAGGUGGGAGACUUUGAAGCAGAUACGCCAGUAUUUGUGGAGUCACCAAGUGAAAUACCACCCUUGUUGUGAUUGUGUUCUCACGCUGACCGUUAUCCGGUUAGCGGACCGUGUAUGGUGGGUAGUUUAACUGGGGCGGUUGCCUCCUAAAGAGUAGCGGAGGCGUUCAAAGGUUGGCUAACUUCGGAUGGAAAUCGAAGUGAU
RNAcentral lists this ribosomal RNA (2642 nucleotides) under human oral metagenome. RNAcentral describes it as "bacterial LSU rRNA". It matches the Rfam family "Bacterial large subunit ribosomal RNA", at positions 1 to 2347 of the family's 2925-position model. The record is from RNAcentral.